UGAAAGGAAAAAAGCAUGCAUUUUAGAAUUUAAAAAAUAGUUGCUUCUAAAAAAUGAGCUGCUUUUGUGCAAAUAAAAUCAAGUCAAUAAAAUGAUUGUUUUUUAAUACAUGACUAAAAAUUAUCUCGAUUUCUGACUACAUAUUUAAUAUAGUAUAUUUAGCCCCGCCUUCUGAAUGAAAGAGCCAAUCGCUAAUCCGUAAAGUCAGUGCGUCACUGCAGCUGCAGUUAGAAGUCCCGGUUGAAACCAAACAGUCAGCGCUCUGAGACUUGCGCUCAGGACUGCGCAUGCGCACUGGCUGAUCUAGUCUGAGAAAUAAGCUUUUUAUAACGCUAUUUGAGCAAAAGAAACAACAUUAAUGAUACAGUUGUUGUCAGAUUUCUUUGGUGAUUUCAAAUAUGAAAUUUAAUCGUAAGUUUAGUGAACAGUUUUGGAGAAUUGGAUGUUUCCCCAUUCAGAGAUAGGAGCUGCACUUGCAUGCCCGAGAGGCGUUUCAAAGAUGGCCGCCGAGUGACAUGACUUGUUUUAAGACUUUGGUACUACUAAGUAUACUAUACACUUAAGUAUGUUACUGAAAUCACUAUCUACCAUUACGCCAGGUUUAGAUUAUUUUACAGUUAAUGGAGGGUUGCAGACCUGUUCUGACUACAGUUUGUUUGGUCGCACUAGUGAUUAUCACAUUUAUAUGGGAAACGGCAAAUGCAGUGGUGUUCAUUUGAACCGCGCCGCACGGACCAUGUAACUUGUCGGUCCAGUAUAUAACGUUAGCGCAGCGGCAGCUUAGUCCAGAGAGAAGCGCUCAAAAUCGACAAUGGAUUCUUCCGUGAUAGGAAAAACUGCAACAGUGGAAUCUCUGACAGUUCACUGAAACAUUUCAAAAGGAAUACUAAUUCCAAGAACUUUAAACGGGGAGACAAUGGAAGAGAAGACCUUACUACAAGCAGUGGAUCUGUGUUGCAAACUUUUCUAUGUGUAUGACAUCAACUACCCAAAGCCUUUUGCUCCCAUUUGGGAGUUUUUGCAGCACAGUCUUUAAUAUUCCAAGAUUUCCUUCAACACACUGCCUCCUCCUUAAAAAUGUUUUAUUUAGUGAUCAGUAAAAGCUUUUUAUUUUACUGAUCAUCAGUCGGUCCUUAUAGUUUUUUUCAACUACUUACACACAUUUUCAAAACUUUGCCUCUUUUUUUUCAAAACUUUACACACAAAUCCAAGAAUUGCACACAAAAUGCAAAAUGCCUCACAUUUCUUGCAAAAUGAAGCACUGCAUUCAAAAUAUCACAAACAUAUCUCAAAAGCAAACACCUUUGCCAUAAUAUUAAUUCCUGUUAAAUUGUUGUGUUACAUAGAGAAUGGUGUGUGUUUUGCAAAAAGUGUUUUAUGAAAUUGAAAACUGAGUCAAAGGCUGAGAAUUAGUGUAUGGUUUUGCAGAUUUGGUGUGUGCUUUGCUGUUUGAGUGUCAGCUUUCAGAAAUUGUGUGACAAGUAAAGAUUUUGUGUAUAUGCAGAUGAAAAAAAACAGUAUAACUUGUGUUUGAUUAAUUUUUAUUGAUAUAUGUUUGUAUGUUAUGUUUGUUUUAUUUGUGUACUGUAUUUGCACAUUUGUGUAUGUUUUGAUAUGAAUGAAUAUGAAUUGAGACACAUUUGUUGGUUUUGAAUUCACUGUACAUCUUGAAAAUGUUAGUUGUAU
This is a long non-coding RNA of Onychostoma macrolepis, 1686 nucleotides long. RefSeq lists it as uncharacterized. The record is from RefSeq and is a predicted model, not a curated record. Lineage: Eukaryota; Metazoa; Chordata; Actinopteri; Cypriniformes; Cyprinidae. The transcript has 3 exons.